RNAcentral lists this transfer RNA (73 nucleotides) under Candidatus Blackburnbacteria bacterium RIFCSPHIGHO2_12_FULL_41_13b. RNAcentral's name for it is "tRNA-Pro". It matches the Rfam family "tRNA". Rfam says of the family: Transfer RNA (tRNA) molecules are approximately 80 nucleotides in length. Lineage: Bacteria; Candidatus Blackburniibacteriota. The record is from RNAcentral.
CGGGGUAUAGCGCAGUUGGUAGCGCGCCUCGUUUGGGACGAGGAGGUCGGAGGUUCGAAUCCUCCUACCCCGA